GCGGCCUAUCAGCUAGUUGGCGGGGUAACGGCCCACCAAGGCGACGACGGGUAGCCGGCCUGAGAGGGCGAUCGGCCACAAGGGGACUGAGACACGGCCCCUACUCCUACGGGAGGCAGCAGUAGGGAAUUUUGCUCAAUGGGGGAAACCCUGAAGCAGCGACGCCGCGUGGGUGACGAAAUCCUUCGGGAUGUAAAACCCUUUUAACCGGGACGAAAUACAUGACGGUACCGGUGGAAUAAGCCUCGGCUAACUCCGUGCCAGCAGCCGCGGUAAGACGGGGGAGGCAAGCGUUGUCCGGAAUCACUGGGUGUAAAGGGCGUGUAGGCGGGCCGGCUAGUCGGUUGUUAAAUCUCUCCGCUCAACGGAGAAGCUGCGGCCGAUACUUCCGGUCUUGAGUGCGGCAGGGGAGGAUGGAAUUCCUGGUGUAGCGGUGAAAUGCGUAGAUAUCAGGAGGAACACCGGUGGCGAAGGCGGUCCUCUGGGCCUGCACUGACGCUGAGUGCGCGAAAGCUGGGGUAGCAAACAGAAUUAGAUACUCUGGUAGUCCCAGCCCUAAACUAUGGGUACUAGGUGUACGUCCCUUCAAGGGAUGUGUGCCGCAGCUAACGCAUUAA
This 617-nucleotide ribosomal RNA is filed under the name uncultured bacterium. Its description in RNAcentral is "bacterial SSU rRNA". It matches the Rfam family "Bacterial small subunit ribosomal RNA", at positions 233 to 863 of the family's 1533-position model. The record is from RNAcentral.